CUCUCUCGCGCGCGCUCUCGCUCGCGCUCUCGCUCUCGCUCCUUGGCGACGAAGAAGAGGAUGGAGCUUCGUGAUCAGAUAUGUGGAGAGAGUAUACCAGAAAGAACGGGCUGGAUGCUAUAGAGAACUAUUGUAGCGGCAAGAAGAUACCCUAAUUCGGAAGCUUCUCUCACCAAUUCAGAGAAUCUUGCUGCUUUUGGGUGGUUGGCUCCAAGUUCGUUCGAUACUCGUACACUGAAGCAAUGAAAAAAGAGAAAAAGAAAGUUGUUUUUGACUAAUUUUAGCUUGCUUAUUAUGUUUAUUGGCUAACAAGUGUUCAAAAAGAGGGUGUGCUCACCUAACUGCCGUGUUAAAUCCUAUGGAAAUCAUCAGUGUCCAGAUUUGGUAGUUCAUGCUGUUGGACAAAACAAAUAAAUGAUCAGCUGAAUGAAAAAGAUAUUUUGAUUACAUAUUGAAAUAUGUACAGAUGUCCCCUUUGCAAUAUAUUUU
This is a long non-coding RNA of Ananas comosus (pineapple), 489 nucleotides long. RefSeq lists it as uncharacterized. Lineage: Eukaryota; Viridiplantae; Streptophyta; Magnoliopsida; Poales; Bromeliaceae. The transcript is spliced from 3 exons. The record is from RefSeq and is a predicted model, not a curated record.